This 638-nucleotide long non-coding RNA is filed under the name Bos indicus x Bos taurus (hybrid cattle). RNAcentral's name for it is "lncRNA (ENSBIXG00005022299.1)". The record is from RNAcentral. Lineage: Eukaryota; Metazoa; Chordata; Mammalia; Artiodactyla; Bovidae.
CUGUUCACAAGGCUGCUCCCAUACCUGAUACUUUCCUUAAUAUCAAACCAGGCAGUCCUUUCAGGGGGACUGUGUAGAAUAAACAUCAUGCUAAGAUAUGUGAGUGCUCCUGGCUGAAAGUAGGGACAGGAAAGGAAGAACAAGAACCUGAAGCCAGAAAGAGAGGCUGAAUCCGUGACCGAAGUUCAGAAUGCAGGUGUGCAUGUCUGUUGUCACGGGUUAAAGCAGCUCCCACAAGGAACAGGAUCAUCCCUGUAAAAUCUUCAAGAACAGAACCCAGUGCCUCACCUGUGUCUUGCCACUAUGAGCAUUGAACACAUCCUUGCUGCUCACUUUGAUGGAUCCAUUUAUGGUAUGGUGCCCUCGGGGAGCAGUAUGGAACCUAUUCUCCUUUGUGGGAGAGGUGGAACCAACUGUGACUUCAUGUAGUUGAGAGCAAGUAUGGUCUGAAGAAGGUCUGAAGAAGAAGGACCCAUGGCAUCCUUUAUUGAGUGUGGUCCAAAUGGAGAAACUCAACUGACGAAAUCCCUGGUACCUGGGCAAACAGCCUCUGCUUAUACAUGAUCAACGGUAUGGAAUUAUUUACCUUUCAAGGAAAUCCAUUUUACUUUUCAAUAAUUCUUUUUAAAAAUAUUUAU